AUGCGCCUUCACUGUGAUAGCGGUCAACAAGAAAACAAGAGAAUAAUCCCUAGAGAUCUGGUAUGUUGUUUGACACUUCGGCGAUUGCUUCUUCCUCGAUUUCCGCUUCUUUGUGUUUCUAUGCUUGAGUGUCUCGAAUCGUUAUUGUUUGCGUUACAGGAAGAUGAUGACGAUGAGUAUUGUGAUGCAGAUCGAAAUUGCCAAAACGGUGAAAUUGUUGCUGAUGUAGCAGAGAAGAUGCAAGCUAAUGAUGAUUGA
Non-coding RNA from Vicia faba (fava bean), 258 nucleotides. Lineage: Eukaryota; Viridiplantae; Streptophyta; Magnoliopsida; Fabales; Fabaceae. The record is from the annotation of a GenBank genome assembly.